This 66-nucleotide transfer RNA is filed under the name Sinochlora longifissa. RNAcentral describes it as "tRNA-Trp". The record is from RNAcentral. Lineage: Eukaryota; Metazoa; Arthropoda; Insecta; Orthoptera; Tettigoniidae.
AAGAUUUUAAGUUAACUAAACUAAUAGCCUUCAAAGCUAUAAAUAAAAUUAUUUUUUUAAAUCUUA